Molecule: small RNA, 46 nt
Organism: Fimbriiglobus ruber
Lineage: Bacteria; Pseudomonadati; Planctomycetota; Planctomycetia; Gemmatales; Gemmataceae
Rfam family: Acido-Lenti-1 RNA
Source: Rfam
CUCAGGGUUCACACCCUGGGCCAUUUUCUGCCGCCCCGUUGGGGCU